AGAGUUUGAUCCUGGCUCAGGAUGAACGCUAGCGGCAGGCCUAACACAUGCAAGUCGAACGGUAACAUGAGAGCUUGCUCUUGAUGACGAGUGGCGCACGGGUGCGUAACGCGUAUACAAUCUACCUUUUACAGGGGGAUAGCCUUUAGAAAUGAAGAUUAAUACCCCAUGGUAUAAUGAUAUGGCAUCAUAUUAUUAUUAAAGUUUCGGCGGUAAAAGAUGAGUAUGCGUUCUAUUAGCUAGAUGGUGUGGUAACGGCACACCAUGGCAACGAUAGAUAGGGGCCCUGAGAGGGGGAUCCCCCACACUGGUACUGAGACACGGACCAGACUCCUACGGGAGGCAGCAGUGAGGAAUAUUGGACAAUGGAGGCAACUCUGAUCCAGCCAUGCCGCGUGCAGGAAGACUGCCCUAUGGGUUGUAAACUGCUUUUAUACAGGAAGAAACACCUCUACGUGUAGAGAUUUGACGGUACUGUAAGAAUAAGGAUCGGCUAACUCCGUGCCAGCAGCCGCGGUAAUACGGAGGAUCCAAGCGUUAUCCGGAAUCAUUGGGUUUAAAGGGUCCGUAGGUGGAUAAUUAAGUCAGAGGUGAAAGUCUGCAGCUCAACUGUAGAAUUGCCUUUGAUACUGGUUAUCUUGAGUUAUUAUGAAGUAGUUAGAAUAUGUAGUGUAGCGGUGAAAUGCAUAGAUAUUACAUAGAAUACCAAUUGCGAAGGCAGAUUACUAAUAAUUAACUGACACUGAUGGUCGAAAGCGUGGGGAGCGAACAGGAUUAGAUACCCUGGUAGUCCACGCCGUAAACCAUGGUUACUAGCUGUUCGGACUUCGGUCUGAGUGGCUAAGCGAAAGUGAUAAGUAACCCACCUGGGGAGUACGUUCGCAAGAAUGAAACUCAAAGGAAUUGACGGGGGCCCGCACAAGCGGUGGAGCAUGUGGUUUAAUUCGAUGAUACGCGAGGAACCUUACCAGGGCUUAAAUGUAGUGUGACAGGACUAGAGAUAGUUUUUUCUUCGGACACAUUACAAGGUGCUGCAUGGUUGUCGUCAGCUCGUGCCGUGAGGUGUCAGGUUAAGUCCUAUAACGAGCGCAACCCCUGUUGUUAGUUGCCAGCGAGUGAUGUCGGGAACUCUAACAAGACUGCCGGUGCAAACCGUGAGGAAGGUGGGGAUGACGUCAAAUCAUCACGGCCCUUACGUCCUGGGCUACACACGUGCUACAAUGGUAGGUACAGAGAGCAGCCACUGCGUGAGCAGGAGCGAAUCUAUAAAACCUAUCACAGUUCGGAUCGGAGUCUGCAACUCGACUCCGUGAUGCUGGAAUCGCUAGUAAUCGCAUAUCAGCCAUGAUGCGGUGAAUACGUUCCCGGGCCUUGUACACACCGCCCGUCAAGCCAUGGAAGCUGGGAGUGCCUGAAGUCCGUCACCGCAAGGAGCGGCCUAGGGUAAAAUUAGUAACUAGGGCUAAGUCGGAACAAGGUA
RNAcentral lists this ribosomal RNA (1480 nucleotides) under metagenome. Its description in RNAcentral is "bacterial SSU rRNA". It matches the Rfam family "Bacterial small subunit ribosomal RNA". The record is from RNAcentral.